AGGGUAUGGCAUGCCAUAUAAACAUACAGAGUUCGCAGUACUGCUACCGAUACAUGAUCUAUAUUUGAGGUUACAUAUCUGGUACCUCAUAAGCAUGGUCACAGAGCUCUGCUAUCACAGUUUUGGCCUCUGAGCCUACCGUUCGGCACCCUGUGCCUACCGUUAUAACUCCUUAUCUACCUAGUCGAUCCUACUAUGUGUUUAUAAGGGCUAAGAUCUUAAUUA
RNAcentral lists this long non-coding RNA (225 nucleotides) under Manihot esculenta (cassava). RNAcentral describes it as "long non-coding RNA (MESC_LNC001251)". The record is from RNAcentral. Lineage: Eukaryota; Viridiplantae; Streptophyta; Magnoliopsida; Malpighiales; Euphorbiaceae.